ACGGAAGGCAGCAGUGGGGGAUAUUGCACAAUGGGGGAAACCCUGAUGCAGCGACGCCGCGUGAGUGAUGAAGUAUUUCGGUAUGUAAAGCUCUAUCAGCAGGGAAGAAAAUGACGGUACCUGACUAAGAAGCACCGGCUAAAUACGUGCCAGCAGCCGCGGUAAUACGUAUGGUGCAAGCGUUAUCCGGAUUUACUGGGUGUAAAGGGAGCGUAGACGGCAUAGCAAGCCAGAUGUGAGAGGUGGAGGCUCAACCCCCAAGCUGCAUUUGGAACUGUUAAGCUAGAGUAUCGGAGAGGUAAGUGGAAUUCCUAGUGUAGCGGUGAAAUGCGUAGAUAUUAGGAGGAACACCAGUGGCGAAGGCGGCUUACUGGACGAUAACUGACGUUGAGGCUCGAAAGCGUGGGGAGCAAACAGGAUUAGAUACCCUGGUA
RNAcentral lists this ribosomal RNA (434 nucleotides) under uncultured Lachnospiraceae bacterium. RNAcentral's name for it is "bacterial SSU rRNA". It matches the Rfam family "Bacterial small subunit ribosomal RNA", at positions 341 to 792 of the family's 1533-position model. Lineage: Bacteria; Bacillati; Bacillota; Clostridia; Lachnospirales; Lachnospiraceae. The record is from RNAcentral.